Molecule: ribosomal RNA, 433 nt
Filed under: uncultured bacterium
Lineage: Bacteria
Description: partial 16S ribosomal RNA
Rfam family: Bacterial small subunit ribosomal RNA
Source: RNAcentral
AACGAACGCUGGCGGCAUGCCUAACACAUGCAAGUCGAACGAGACCUUCGGGUCUAGUGGCGCACGGGUGCGUAACGCGUGGAAACCUGCCCUUAGGUUCGGAAUAACUCCCCGAAAGGGGUGCUAAUACCGGAUAAUGUCUUCGGACCAAAGAUUUAUCGCCUUUGGAUGGGCCCGCGUUGGAUUAGCAAGUUGGUAGGGUAAAAGCCUACCAAGGCGACGAUCCAUAGCUGGUCUGAGAGGAUGAUCAGCCACACUGGGACUGAGACACGGCCCAGACUCCUACGGGAGGCAGCAGUGGGGAAUAUUGGACAAUGGGCGAAAGCCUGAUCCAGCAAUGCCGCGUGAGUGAUGAAGGCCUUAGGGUUGUAAAGCUCUUUUACCCGGGAUGAUAAUGACAGUACCGGGAGAAUAAGCUCCGGCUAACUCCGUG